GGGCGAGUUUCAGAUUCGAUUGCAGGCAGAGGAUAGGAAAAGCAUACCAAAGGCUCGGCUUUGUAAAAACGGAAACUUAAAUUUAAACGCAGAAUCAAAAGAUUCAAAAGUUGUUGCUUUCCCCUCGAUGAGAGGAGCAAGCGUAGCUUGCGCAGCUUAAAGAUUAAGCUGUCCGUCGUCUGCCGAAUACCGUUGUCGGCUAAGCGGCGUUAAUUAAACGGUUAACUGCUUUCGCGUAUUACCGCGCGCUAAAGUUAGUAUUUGGCGGUAUGCUGCCGCAUAAGCUUGUCUGUCGGCGUAUGCGUAGUAAGAUAAAAGACACACUAAGUAUGUAGAAAGCUUAAACAAAGUCUGUAAGACUAGGGUGCAAGUCCCUACUCGUCCACCA
This 388-nucleotide transfer-messenger RNA is filed under the name Clostridia bacterium. It matches the Rfam family "transfer-messenger RNA". From Rfam's summary of the family: Bacterial tmRNA, also known as 10Sa RNA or SsrA, is named for its dual tRNA and mRNA-like properties. Its role is to liberate the mRNA from a stalled ribosome. The record is from RNAcentral. Lineage: Bacteria; Bacillati; Bacillota; Clostridia.